AACGAACACUGGCGGCAUGCCUAACACAUGCAAGUCGAACGAGACCUUCGGGUCUAGUGGCGCACGGGUGCGUAACGCGUGGGAACCUGCCCUUAGGUUCGGAAUAACUCCCCGAAAGGGGUGCUAAUACCGGAUAAUGUCUUCGGACCAAAGAUUUAUCGCCUUUGGAUGGGCCCGCGUUGGAUUAGCUAGUUGGUAGGGUAAAAGCCUACCAAGGCGACGAUCCAUAGCUGGUCUGAGAGGAUGAUCAGCCACACUGGGACUGAGACACGGCCCAGACUCCUACGGGAGGCAGCAGUGGGGAAUAUUGGACAGUGGGCGAAAGCCUGAUCCAGCAAUGCCGCGUGAGUGAUGAAGGCCUUAGGGUUGUAAAGCUCUUUUACCCGGGAUGAUAAUGACAGUACCGGGAGAAUAAGCUCCGGCUAACUCCGUG
Molecule: ribosomal RNA, 433 nt
Filed under: uncultured bacterium
Lineage: Bacteria
Description: partial 16S ribosomal RNA
Rfam family: Bacterial small subunit ribosomal RNA
Source: RNAcentral